Molecule: ribosomal RNA, 1479 nt
Filed under: uncultured bacterium
Lineage: Bacteria
Description: partial 16S ribosomal RNA
Rfam family: Bacterial small subunit ribosomal RNA
Source: RNAcentral
AGAGUUUGAUCCUGGCUCAGGAUGAACGCUGGCGGCGUGCUUAACACAUGCAAGUCGAGCGAGAAUUAGUUACUGGAGGCUUCGGCCAAAGGUAACUGAGGAAAGCGGCGGACGGGUGAGUAACGCGUGGGUAACCUACCUUAUACAGGGGGAUAACAUAUUGAAAAGUAUGCUAAUACCGCAUAAGCGCACGAAAUCGCAUGAUUUUGUGUGAAAAGCCGAGACGGUAUAAGAUGGACCCGCGUCUGAUUAGCUAGUAGGUGAGGUAAUGGCUCACCUAGGCGACGAUCAGUAGCCGACCUGAGAGGGUGAACGGCCACAUUGGGACUGAGACACGGCCCAAACUCCUACGGGAGGCAGCAGUGGGGAAUAUUGCACAAUGGGGGAAACCCUGAUGCAGCGACGCCGCGUGAAGGAUGAAGGUUUUCGGAUCGUAAACUUCUAUCAGCAGGGACGAUAAUGACGGUACCUGACUAAGAAGCCCCGGCUAACUACGUGCCAGCAGCCGCGGUAAUACGUAGGGGGCAAGCGUUAUCCGGAAUUACUGGGUGUAAAGGGUGCGUAGGCGGUAAUGUAAGUCAGGUGUGAAAGCCCGAAGCUCAACUUCGGGAUUGCACUUGAAACUACAUAACUAGAGUACAGGAGAGGUGAGUGGAAUUCCUAGUGUAGCGGUGAAAUGCGUAGAUAUUAGGAGGAACACCAGUGGCGAAGGCGACUCACUGGACUGUAACUGACGCUGAGGCACGAAAGCGUGGGGAGCGAACAGGAUUAGAUACCCUGGUAGUCCACGCUGUAAACGAUGAAUGCUAGGUGUCGGGGGUAUCGACCCCCUGCUGCAGUUAACGCAAUAAGUAUUCCGCCUGGGGAGUAUGCACGCAAGUGUGAAACUCAAAGGAAUUGACGGGACCCCGCACAAGCGGUGGAUUAUGUUGUUUAAUUCGAAGCAACGCGAAGAACCUUACCAGGUCUUGACAUCCCUCUGACCGGUCCGUAACGGGACCUUUCCUUCGGGACAGAGGAGACAGGUGCUGCAUGGUUGUCGUCAGCUCGUGCCGUGAGGUGUUGGGUUAAGUCCCAUAACGAGCGCAACCCUUAUCGUUAGUUGCCAGCGGGUCAAGCCGGGGACUCUAGCGAGACUGCCACCGUAAGGUGUGAGGAAGGUGGGGAUGACGUCAAAUCAGCACGGCCCUUAUGUCCAGGGCUACACACGUGUUACAAUGGCCGAUACAAAGGGCAGCUACCAGGUGACUGGAUGCUAAUCUCCAAAGUCGGUCUCAGUUCGGAUCGAAGUCUGCAACCCGACUUCGUGAAGCUGGAUUCGCUAGUAAUCGCAUAUCAGCCAUGGCGCGGUGAAUACGUUCCCGGGCCUUGUACACACCGCCCGUCAAGCCAUGGAAGUUGGGGGUGCCUAAAGUUCGUGACCGCAAGGAGCGACCUAGGGUAAAACCAAUGACUGGGGCUAAGUCGUAACAAGUAACC